Molecule: non-coding RNA, 135 nt
Organism: Triticum aestivum (bread wheat)
Lineage: Eukaryota; Viridiplantae; Streptophyta; Magnoliopsida; Poales; Poaceae
Source: Rfam
UGAGUACUCCCUCCGUCCGGAAAUACUUGUCAUCAAAAUGAACAAAAAGGGAUGUAUCUAGAACUAGAAUACGUCUAGAUACAUCUUCCUUUAUCCAUUUUGAUGAUAAGUAUUUCCAGACGGAGGGAGUAUUAU